GGGACAGUAGCUCAAUUUGGGAGAGCGCUGGCUUUGCAAGCCGGGCCUGUUGUGGGAUCGUGCCCCACCUGUUCCA
This 76-nucleotide transfer RNA is filed under the name Candidatus Pacearchaeota archaeon. RNAcentral describes it as "tRNA-Ala". It matches the Rfam family "tRNA". From Rfam's summary of the family: Transfer RNA (tRNA) molecules are approximately 80 nucleotides in length. Their secondary structure includes four short double-helical elements and three loops (D, anti-codon, and T loops). The record is from RNAcentral. Lineage: Archaea; Nanobdellati.